Molecule: ribosomal RNA, 601 nt
Filed under: Fusarium acuminatum
Lineage: Eukaryota; Fungi; Ascomycota; Sordariomycetes; Hypocreales; Nectriaceae
Also listed under: 1 other name
Description: eukaryotic LSU rRNA
Rfam family: Eukaryotic large subunit ribosomal RNA
Source: RNAcentral
AACUUCUGAAUGUUGACCUCGGAUCAGGUAGGAAUACCCGCUGAACUUAAGCAUAUCAAUAAGCGGAGGAAAAGAAACCAACAGGGAUUGCCCUAGUAACGGCGAGUGAAGCGGCAACAGCUCAAAUUUGAAAUCUGGCUUUCGGGCCCGAGUUGUAAUUUGUAGAGGAUACUUUUGAUGCGGUGCCUUCCGAGUUCCCUGGAACGGGACGCCAUAGAGGGUGAGAGCCCCGUCUGGUUGGAUGCCAAAUCUCUGUAAAGUUCCUUCGACGAGUCGAGUAGUUUGGGAAUGCUGCUCUAAAUGGGAGGUAUAUGUCUUCUAAAGCUAAAUAUUGGCCAGAGACCGAUAGCGCACAAGUAGAGUGAUCGAAAGAUGAAAAGCACUUUGAAAAGAGAGUUAAAAAGUACGUGAAAUUGUUGAAAGGGAAGCGUUUAUGACCAGACUUGGACUUGGUUAAUCAUCUGGGGUUCUCCCCAGUGCACUUUUCCAGUUCAGGCCAGCAUCAGUUUUCGCCGGGGGAUAAAGGCUUCGGGAAUGUAGCUCUCUUCGGGGAGUGUUAUAGCCCGUUGUGUAAUACCCUGGCGGAGACUGAGGUUCGCGC